Molecule: long non-coding RNA, 1493 nt
Filed under: Ailuropoda melanoleuca (giant panda)
Lineage: Eukaryota; Metazoa; Chordata; Mammalia; Carnivora; Ursidae
Description: lncRNA (ENSAMEG00000026160.1)
Source: RNAcentral
GAAAAAUUAAAUUUUGUGGAAAUUAACCAGUCAGUACUUUUGACAGCCUUAAGUCUAGUUUUAUCAUUGAAAUCUAAGAAGUCCUCUCCUGACCUCACAUUUUUGGUAAUCAGAUUUAUCACACUAGUGAAAGAACUAACCAUUUGCAGCUCAUCUUCUGCUUGACAAAUAGAGCACACAGCAUUCUCCAGGACAUGAGCUAAACUAGAGCAGUGUCAAGUAUAACACACUAAGUGUCCCCUUCAGCCUUUCCUGCUCUCUUCACGUGGAAUUCCGUUCUUGUGCUCUUCAGCUGCUGCAUAACGUUAGUGUGCUCUCCAGUUUCACCUUCAGCUGGGCUUUGAGAGUGACAAGUUGGUAUUGUUCCUGGACUCAAAUUAUGAUAUUUAGGAUAUUAAGUUGUAUCCUUUCUGCUCCGACUAUAAAAUAUGAAAUUGGGGCAGACGAAUUUAGUUGAUUACAGUAUUAUUAGACUAAUUUGUGAGUUGAACCAAUUGGCUUUAUACUGCUAAAAACUAUUUCAUACCCCUAAUUAUGCCGAUUCAGUAAAGGGCAUGGAGCUCGUGGCCUACUACAGAUCCUGAGAGAGAGGGUGGCAUAAAGUCAUGAGGAUUGAAAGGAAUUCAAAAUGUAUGUCCUCUACACAGGAAUACAAUACUCUCCUAAAACCGGAUAUAUUGGAAUUAAAAUGUCAGAGUGAGACAUUUCCUGUAACUUUGAUGGAAUACAAGAAGUGGAACUUGUUGGUCAACACAUUAGACAAAACAGAUGGGGAAGCAAAGAAGUGUGUGACAUAAGACAUGCAGAAAUUUGGAUCUCUCCAAUUAAUCAUGGUUCACAGCUGACAAAAAGGUGACAAUAAUUGAUGUAACCCUUUGAGAAACAAUCUGGAACUUCAGCACCCUAGGAAAUCUUGUUCAGCUUUGCUCAGCUACUACUGAAUUAAUGUGUGUUAUAAAUUGCUACUCAGAGGGGCACUUCAUAAAGUCAGAAUUUCUGGAACAAAUCCCAUACCACGAGACAUCCUAGAAAUCAUCCUUUUUUUUUUUUUUUGGCUUCUCACCACUUAGUGUUGUGUUACCUACUGUAACAAGCACAGUACACAGAUUAAAGAUGAAAGGGCCAAUUUGUCUGCAGUGCAUUUUGCCAAUGGAGGCAGUCUCCAUAACUCAAUUCAAUCCCUAGGAGAGUUACAUGUUAGCUCAAAAUGUCUAAACUAGUUGUCUAUUUGCUAACAUGCAAUGCUACAUGCAUGGCCUUUACUGGCUCUGCAGCUAUAGGACAUGCAACCCCCACUCUUUUAGAUGUAGCCUCCAUAUAAGAGACUUCCCCUCCAAAGAGGAUGUAACUAUUGACCAGGCAUUUUUCUCCUUGUAAAAGGUGGGCGCUUACACAUAGGCACUGCUUCCAACUUCCACACCUGAAUAAGGCAAUGUAACACAGAUCUCCAGACAAGCACAAAUGUGUGAAACAUGAACCACUGGAGUUGCAAG